GGAAUAUUGGGCAAUGGACGCAAGUCUGACCCAGCCAUGCCGCCUGCAGGAUGAAGCCCCUCUGGGUUGUAAACUGCUUUCCUUAGGGAAGCAAAGUAUCUAUUUAUGGGUAUAUGACGGUACCUCAGGAAUAAGCACCCGCUAACUCCGUUCCUGCAGACGCGGUAAUACGGAGGGUGCAAGCGUUAUCCGGAAUUACUGGGUUUAAAGGGUGCGUAGGCGGUCAUAUAAGUCAGUGGUGAAAGUUUGCUGCUUAACGGUAGAAUUGCCAUUGAUACUGUAUGACUUGAAUUAGGAUGAGGAUGGCGGAAUGAGACAUGUAGCGGUGAAAUGCAUAGAUAUGUCUUAGAACACCGAUUGCGAAGGCAGCUAUCUAGACCUUGAUUGACGCUGAGGCACGAAAGCGUGGGGAGCGAAC
RNAcentral lists this ribosomal RNA (418 nucleotides) under uncultured bacterium. Its description in RNAcentral is "bacterial SSU rRNA". It matches the Rfam family "Bacterial small subunit ribosomal RNA", at positions 358 to 773 of the family's 1533-position model. The record is from RNAcentral.